UUAAUAGCGGCUAAUUUUGACGUUACUCGCAGAAGAAGCACCGGCUAACUCUGUGCCAGCAGCCGCGGUAAUACAGAGGGUGCAAGCGUUAAUCGGAAUUACUGGGCGUAAAGCGCACGUAGGCGGUUUUUUAAGUCAGAUGUGAAAGCCCCGGGCUCAACCUGGGAAUUGCAUUUGAAACUGGGGAACUAGAGUGUGUGAGAGGGGGGUAGAAUUCCAAGUGUAGCGGUGAAAUGCGUAGAGAUUUGGAGGAAUACCAGUGGCGAAGGCGGCCCCCUGGCACAACACUGACGCUCAGGUGCGAAAGCGUGGGGAGCAAACAGGAUUAGAUACCCUGGUAGUCCACGCCGUAAACGAUGUCUACUAGCUGUUCGUGUCCUUGUGAUGUGAGUAGCGCAGCUAACGCACUAAGUAGACCGCCUGGGGAGUACGGUCGCAAGAUUAAAACUCAAAUGAAUUGACGGGGGCCCGCACAAGCGGUGGAGCAUGUGGUUUAAUUCGACGCAACGCGAAGAACCUUACCUACUCUUGACAUCUACGGAAGACUGCAGAGAUGCGGUUGUGCCUUCGGGAACCGUAAGACAGGUGCUGCAUGGCUGUCGUCAGCUCGUGUUGUGAAAUGUUGGGUUAAGUCCCGCAACGAGCGCAACCCCUAUCCUUAGUUGCCAGCGAGUUAAGUCGGGAACUCUAGGGAGACUGCCGGUGAUAAACCGGAGGAAGGUGGGGAC
Molecule: ribosomal RNA, 728 nt
Filed under: Rheinheimera tangshanensis
Lineage: Bacteria; Pseudomonadati; Pseudomonadota; Gammaproteobacteria; Chromatiales; Chromatiaceae
Description: bacterial SSU rRNA
Rfam family: Bacterial small subunit ribosomal RNA
Source: RNAcentral